CCGGUAAGCGGUAAGAUAGGACGCGCGUGCGCUCCCGAGUCCCGCGUAGAUAUAUAGCAAAUGCGCGCGCGGUUCCAGCCAGUGGGAGGGAGAGGGAGAGGAGAAAGAACAAUCAGCCACGGAUUUAGGUGUUAAAAAGAGGCAAAAGGCUAGUGUUUAGUUGUUUAGUAGUAUAAAGAGCAAAGGCUAUUUGGUGAAGUUCUGCUACGGUUGAGAAACUUUCCUUAGAGUCUGAUGAUCAAUGACAAGAUCAAAGUAUGAGAUACAAGAACAUACGGAAGGAGCUGAGCGUAAUCUCAUUAGUAUGGCACGUGCCGUGCGAGCGCCUCCACUGGCUCCGCUGCCUCCAGACGCGUCACAAAGCCUGACUACGACGCUUUCAACGGCCUUCGACUCGAGGAGUAUGAGCUGUGAGCCUACCAGCUAAAUGAUGACCCCAUAUCACGGUGGCAACCGAGCACGUCAACCAUCCGUCCAGACUAGCGUUCUAUAGACUGUAGACGCCUGUAAACUAAAUACACGUAUUGACCUACAAUUUUUAGCCUUGGUUUAUGUUUUUAACGUUCUCAAUAUACUGAUUCACCGGAUGAGCUAACUAAUAAUUCCACAAUUACAUCGCUUCUCUAUAAACACUUACGUUUGCGUUUAUAAAUAUAAUAAGUAAUAAAAAAUAAAUACCAUUUGUUAGUAUAACGUA
Molecule: long non-coding RNA, 697 nt
Filed under: Cotesia glomerata
Lineage: Eukaryota; Metazoa; Arthropoda; Insecta; Hymenoptera; Braconidae
Description: uncharacterized LOC123270582, transcript variant X2
Source: RNAcentral